ACAACUAAGCAAUGAUCUUUCAGUUGCUUUGCAAGCAGAAACCUGUAUUGGGAGGUCACGCUGCGUGGAUGGUGCUUGGUGCAUGAACAACUUGGCGACCGGCCUCCAAAACCAAAGUGGCUUUAUUGCUCUCAUCGAUCACUCCUGCGGCCUACCAUUAGGUCUACCCGUAUUUGUUGUAUCCUACACAAGUGGUAGCCUGCUGUUACGACAUGCACGUUUUGAACUGCUUUUGGCACCAGUAAUCUUUAUGCACACUUUCCUAACAAUCC
Molecule: long non-coding RNA, 272 nt
Filed under: Setaria viridis
Lineage: Eukaryota; Viridiplantae; Streptophyta; Magnoliopsida; Poales; Poaceae
Description: long non-coding RNA (SVIR_LNC010048)
Source: RNAcentral